RNAcentral lists this ribosomal RNA (487 nucleotides) under uncultured bacterium. RNAcentral's name for it is "partial 16S ribosomal RNA". It matches the Rfam family "Bacterial small subunit ribosomal RNA", at positions 28 to 507 of the family's 1533-position model. The record is from RNAcentral.
GAUGAACGCUAGCGAGAGGGGGAACAAAGGCAAGUCGAGGGGCAGCACAAGGUAGCUGGCUAUCUGUGUGGCGACCGGCGCACGGGUGCGUAACGCGUAUGCAACUUGCGCUAUACAGGAGGAUAACCCGUCGAAAGACGGACUAAUACUGCGUAUGCUCACAACUUGGCAUCAAGUGGUGAGGAAAGAAGUUCGGUAUAGGAUAGGCAUGCGUCCCAUUAGCUUGUUGGUGAGGUAACGGCUCACCAAGGGAACGCUUGGUAGGGGAACUGAGAGGUUUCUCCCCCACAUUGGUACUGAGCCACGGACCAGACUGCUACGGCAGGGAGCAGUGCGGAAUAGUGGUCAAGGGGAGCGAGCCUGAUCCAGCCAAGUCGCGUGAAGGAUGACUGUCUUAUGGAUUGUAACCUUCUUUUAGACGGGAAGACCAAGCGUCAAGUGUGACUCCCUGAAUGUACCGUAUGAAUAAGCAUCGGCUCCCUCCGUG